AAGAAGGAGAAAUUCCUUGGUAAAGGUAAAGUAAUUCUUCCGAUCUCCUUUGAUUCUAUUUCUCUUUUCCGUCUCCUUUCUAACUUCUUCUUCUCCUUUCUCUGAUGUGAGGUCCUUCUGGAUGGUUACGGAGGCUGAGCUUAGAGAACUUAGGGUUUCAAUGUGAAACCCUAAUUCUAUUUUGAUUCAAGCUUUAGUGGGUGGAUCCAGAUUGCAGCAAUUGAGAAUUUUAGAGGGUUUUGUUCCGUCCUUAAUUCAUUGAUUUAUUUUGUAUUUAUAGAUCAAAUUAGGUCUCAGUGUUUUAAUUAAAUUGGUUGCUUUAGGAAGUUCUUGAAUCUGAUUUGUUGUAAUUUGAUUUGAUUGGGUUUAGAAAUAGAUUAGGGUUUUGAAAUUUGAUUGUAUCUGGUCCGAAUUUCCCUAAAAAUCAUAUUGUAUGAUGUAUCUCUAAUAAAUUUUGGAAAGUUUUGAUUGAAUUUUGAAA
This 481-nucleotide long non-coding RNA is filed under the name Lathyrus oleraceus (garden pea). RNAcentral describes it as "Pisum sativum (pea) long non-coding RNA (PSAT_LNC033841)". The record is from RNAcentral. Lineage: Eukaryota; Viridiplantae; Streptophyta; Magnoliopsida; Fabales; Fabaceae.